RNA transcript from Rosa rugosa (rugosa rose), 2336 nucleotides. It is a transcript of the gene named peptidyl-prolyl cis-trans isomerase FKBP16-4, chloroplastic-like, with no coding region annotated. NCBI's taxonomy places the organism in Eukaryota, Viridiplantae, Streptophyta, Magnoliopsida, Rosales, Rosaceae. The record is from RefSeq and is a predicted model, not a curated record. The transcript is spliced from 7 exons.
UCAAAAACUCAAAACAUCAAAAACACAAUUUCUCGCGCCUAACUCUAUCUCGAGUUCUCGACCCAGCAGCAACCCAGAGCAACAAACCCAGCAGCAAUCCAAUUUAUAAAACAGACUCUCUCUCUCUCUCUCUCUCUCUCUCUCUCUCUCUUUGAAGCCUUCAGCUUUGAUCUUUUUCAUUCUGGAUCUAAUUCAUAGCCGCUUAAUCUCGAGGCCCCGAUCUAUCGUCAGCUGAGGUUACAUGUUGCUCGGGUUUUGGCAAAUUAAAAACCCAAGCUUGAGCCCUUCGAUCUCUCUUCGUGAAACCCUAAAAUCCCAUUCCUAGAUGCCAAGUUCUCUGCUAGUUUAGUUCCUAUCGAAUCUAUGCCUUAUCAUCUCCGGCAGAAGUUGCCGCUUCCUAAAUACGAACCCUACUUUUGGUCACAUGCAAAUAAGGGCACUUUUCUAUUCUCAUUGCAGAGAAUUGGUAUCCAAGAUUAUGAAUUUCCUGCAACGAAGGUACUAUGACUUGAAGGUUGGGAAUGGAACUAAGGCAGUGACAGGAUCCCGGGUUGCAGUACGGUUGUGAUCAAGUUAAAUUUCAAUAUUUUGAGUAUAUAUGAUCAAUACUGUCUCCAAGAAUAUGCCAAUACCAAGUGUUAUUAGAUAUCACAUAUUACUAAGCUUCCAUACUUGACUAGAUACCAAAUGAACCUUUGAGACAUUCCCAGUAGGACCUCACUAUGCUCGUACCUAGUUGUCUGCUCAAGUAUUCUCUCUUCCGAUGUGUUACUUGGCUGCCUUUUAGGUUCAUUAUGUUGCAAAGUGGAAGGGUAUCACUUUCAUGACAAGUAGACAAGGACUUGGUGUUGGUGGAGGAAUGUCAUACGGAUUUGAUGUAGGCCAAUCUGAGAAGGGAUCAGUCCUCAAGGGGUUAGAUAUUGGUGUAAAAGGCAUGCGGGUAGGAGGCCCAGUGAGAUCUGUUUUUGGCAUAUAAAGUUUCAUUGCUAUGUUCUGAAGCAAUGUUGCAGCAUAAAUUGAGUUUAUACUUUGCAGAAGAGGUCACAAGUUCCUACAUUAUCAUUUUGGCGUUUAGUAUUAAGCCAUCUAUGUGGAUUUAUGUAAAGACUAAUUAAUAGAGUCUGAAUUUCAGACAUCUGAUGUAUAUUUGUUCCUCUCUCACUGUGUAAGAGUUUUAGAGUUGUUGUGGUAAUAAUUGUUCAAGGUGUUGGACAUCUUUUUGUUCUCUAUGAUACUCGUCAUGAAAGUGAAAUCACUUGAACAACUGAAAUGACAGCUACUUCUUUUCUUAAUUUUUUAUUUUCUUAUUAUGUAUUAUAAGUAUCCCUUUGGGUCCCAAUAAUUUAUCAACUGUUUGAUUUAGAUUCUUUGUUCCUCAGCGAUUGCUUAUAGUUCCUCCUGAGCUGGCAUAUGGAAGCAAAGGAGUCCAAGAAAUCCCUCCAAAUGCAACAAUAGAGGGCAUAUUUUAUUCCCCAUGGAGCUGAUCCAAUCCCAACAGUUGAUUGGAGAUAAUCCAUCACCCAUGAAGUUGCUACCUCUAACUCCCAGUCCCAUAGGCUUACCAUCAACAAGUAUUCUGCUUUUGAAACAGCUGGGAAGCUUCCAUGGGUAAUACCCUUUCUUGUAAACUUAAUAUAUAAACAAAAUUGAUCACAUAGUGCAGUCAAGUAGUUGUUAGUUUCUAGAUUGCUUCAUGACCUUCUCUGUUGUAUUAGCAUCCAUUUUAAUAAAUUGAUAAGCUUUUGGAAUUGAUAAUCUUUUGGUUGGGAGUCGGGACUUGUGAGUGAUUAGGUUUCUUUUAAUCUCUUAUAAAAUUGUAGUCUAAGCAGUCAUGGAUAGGUGCCAACUUUUUUUGGACUUCUGCAGAAACUGCCCCGCAGCACAGCUCUCUUUGGUAUUUGUUUUACCCUACUUAAUGAUCUUCAAAUAUACUGAAAUUUUGACAUGUUUCUGUUUUGUUAGUUAACAAAGGAUCUGGAAAGUUUCAUUUUAUUCCGAAGCAAAGUGAAUUUUCGGUGAUUCUUCCAAAUUUGUUCAGUCAGAUUAUGUUCAUCUUUUUCCUUGCUGUCCUAAAUCCGAAUUCCAUGAAAAUUCAAUUGCUUUGACUCUUUCGUGUUGAUUUUACUGGGAGAGGAGAGCUUGCAGAUCGCCAUGUCAAUUCCAUAUAUAUAUAUAUAUGGUAGAUUGCUUUGGAGUAAUAUUACUCUAUAAUUAUUUGUUUUUGGGUUAGAAGUGGUCUAGUUUUGCUUGGUGUUCUCUUAAAUUAUGUUCUGAAUUGGCUUCAAGCCUUUUGACUUUGAUGAUAUAACAAGCCUUUUGUAUUGUUCCAAAAUGAA